UGGGGAAUAUUGCACAAUGGGCGCAAGCCUGAUGCAGCCAUGCCGCGUGUGUGAAGAAGGCCUUCGGGUUGUAAAGCACUUUCAGCGGGGAGGACGGCGUUAAGGUUAAUAACCUUGGCGAUUGACGUUACCCGCAGAAGAAGCACCGGCUAACUCCGUGCCAGCAGCCGCGGUAAUACGGAGGGUGCAAGCGUUAAUCGGAAUUACUGGGCGUAAAGCGCACGCAGGCGGUCUGUCAAGUCGGAUGUGAAAUCCCCGGGCUCAACCUGGGAACUGCAUUCGAAACUGGCAGGCUAGCGUCUUGUAGAGGGGGGUAGAAUUCCAGGUGUAGCGGUGAAAUGCGUAGAGAUCUGGAGGAAUACCGGUGGCGAAGGCGGCCCCCUGGACAAAGCCUGACGCUCAGGUGCGAAAGCGUGGGGAGCAAACAGG
RNAcentral lists this ribosomal RNA (429 nucleotides) under Chloroflexota bacterium. RNAcentral's name for it is "Chloroflexi bacterium partial 16S ribosomal RNA". It matches the Rfam family "Bacterial small subunit ribosomal RNA", at positions 355 to 776 of the family's 1533-position model. The record is from RNAcentral. Lineage: Bacteria; Bacillati; Chloroflexota.